This 384-nucleotide ribosomal RNA is filed under the name uncultured bacterium. RNAcentral's name for it is "bacterial SSU rRNA". It matches the Rfam family "Bacterial small subunit ribosomal RNA", at positions 30 to 428 of the family's 1533-position model. The record is from RNAcentral.
AUUGAACGCUGGCGGCAGGCUUAACACAUGCAAGUCGAGCGGAGACUUCGGUCUUAGCGGCGAACGGGUGAGUAAUACCUAGGAAUCUGCCUAUUAGUGGGGGAUAACGAAUCGAAAGGUUCGCUAAUACCGCAUACGUCCUACGGGAGAAAGGGGGGGAUCUUCGGACCUCUCGCUAAUAGAUGAGCCUAGGCCGGAUUAGCUAGUUGGUAGGGUAAAGGCCUACCAAGGCGACGAUCUGUAGCUGGUCUGAGAGGAUGGCCAGCCACACUGGAACUGAGACACGGUCCAGACUCCUACGGGAGGCAGCAGUGGGGAAUAUUGGACAAUGGGGGCAACCCUGAUCCAGCCAUGCCGCGUGUGUGAAGAAGGCCUCGGUUGUAA